This 354-nucleotide ribosomal RNA is filed under the name uncultured Nitrospinaceae bacterium. RNAcentral's name for it is "bacterial SSU rRNA". It matches the Rfam family "Bacterial small subunit ribosomal RNA", at positions 524 to 875 of the family's 1533-position model. Lineage: Bacteria; Pseudomonadati; Nitrospinota; Nitrospinia; Nitrospinales; Nitrospinaceae. The record is from RNAcentral.
UACGGAGGGGGCGAGCGUUGUUCGGAAUUAUUGGGCGUAAAGAGUAUGUAGGUGGUCAAGCAAGUCAGGCGUGUAAGCCCUCGGCUCAACCGAGGAAUUGCGUAUGAAACUACUUGACUUGAGUACGGAAGAGGAAAGCGGAAUUCCCAGUGUAGCGGUGAAAUGCAUUGAUAUUGGGAAGAACAUCGGUGGCGAAGGCGGCUUUCUGGUCCGAUACUGACACUGAGAUACGAAAGCCAGGGGAGCGAACGGGAUUAGAUACCCCGGUAGUCCUGGCCGUAAACGAUGGGCACUAGGUGUAGGAGGUAUUCGAUCCCUUCUUUGCCGUAGCUAACGCAUUAAGUGCCCCGCCUG